GAUGAAGAACGCAGCGAAAUGCGAUAAGUAAUGUGAAUUGCAGAAUUCAGUGAAUCAUCGAAUCUUUGAACGCACCUUGCGCCCUUUGGCUAUUCCGAAGGGCAUGCCUGUUUGAGUAUCGUGAACACCUCAACUCUCAUGGUUUGCCAUGAUGAGCUUGGACUCUGGGGGUUUUGCUGGCUCACAGUCGGCUCCUCUAAAAUGAAUCAGCUUACCAGUGUUUGGUGGGUAUCAUGGGUGUGAUAACUAUCUACGCUUGUGGUUUUUCCACCAGGUAACCUUCAGCAGUGGAGGUUCGCUGGAGCUCAUAGAUGUCUCUCCUCAGUGAGGACAGCCCUUUGAAUGUUUGAUCUCAAAUCAGGUAGGACUACCCGCUGAACUUAAGCAUAUCAAUAAGCGGAGGA
This 404-nucleotide unclassified non-coding RNA is filed under the name soil metagenome. RNAcentral describes it as "partial contains 5.8S ribosomal RNA, internal transcribed spacer 2, and large subunit ribosomal RNA". The stretch from base 1 to 121 matches the Rfam family "5.8S ribosomal RNA", at positions 35 to 154 of the family's 154-position model. The record is from RNAcentral.